RNAcentral lists this ribosomal RNA (252 nucleotides) under uncultured bacterium. RNAcentral's name for it is "partial 16S ribosomal RNA". It matches the Rfam family "Bacterial small subunit ribosomal RNA", at positions 524 to 776 of the family's 1533-position model. The record is from RNAcentral.
UACGUAGGGGGCGAGCGUUGUCCGGAAUUACUGGGCGUAAAGGGUACGCAGGCGGUUUCAUAAGUCAGGUGUAAAAGGCAUUGGCUCAACCAAUGUAAGCAUUUGAAACUGUGAGGCUUGAGUGCAGGAGAGGAAGGUGGAAUUCCCAGUGUAGCGGUGAAAUGCGUAGAUAUUGGGAGGAACACCAGUGGCGAAGGCGGCCACCUGGACAGGUACUGACGCUGAGGUGCGAAAGCGUGGGGAGCAAACAGG